RNAcentral lists this ribosomal RNA (433 nucleotides) under uncultured bacterium. Its description in RNAcentral is "partial 16S ribosomal RNA". It matches the Rfam family "Bacterial small subunit ribosomal RNA", at positions 29 to 507 of the family's 1533-position model. The record is from RNAcentral.
AACGAACGCUGGCGGCAGGCUUAACACAUGCAAGUCGAACGCACCUUUCGGGGUGAGUGGCAGACGGGUGAGUAACGCGUGGGAAUCUACCCUUCUCUACGGGAUAGCUCCGGGAAACUGGAAUUAAUACCGUAUACGUCCUGAGGGAGAAAGAUUUAUCGGGGAAGGAUGAGCCCGCGUUGGAUUAGCUAGUUGGUGGGGUAAAGGCCUACCAAGGCGACGAUCCAUAGCUGGUCUAAGAGGAUGAUCAGCCACAUUGGGACUGAGACACGGCCCAAACUCCUACGGGAGGCAGCAGUGGGGAAUAUUGGACAAUGGGCGCAAGCCUGAUCCAGCCAUGCCGCGUGAGUGAUGAAGGCCCUAGGGUUGCAAAGCUCUUUCAGUGGGGACGAUAAUGACGGUACCCACAGAAGAAGCCCCGGCUAACUUCGUG